CAUACUUCGUCUUGCACCUCCUUCUGCCAGCUGCCGGGGACAAUCAGACAAAAUUGUCCGCAGAAUUCUCAAUCAACCAAUCAACCAUCUGCAAUAAUAGCUGGGACAAAAGAUGAUAUAAGACCUCCAGAGAGCUGAGCAAAAAAGGCGAUGCUGUGACAAGUGAAGCAAACAGUGUAGCAAACUGAUGGGAUGGAGCUGCUCUUAACAGCCCGACACUGACAGAACAAAAUUGAGAAACCUGGAUCAGCAGUUCUUGAAAAUGGGAUGUGGGACCAGGUCAGGGUGGACCAUGGCCAUGAGUUUUACUUGUCCCUCUACAUGCAGGAGAUGCUGUCUAACCACAGACACAACUUGCAAAGGCAACCAUAUCGCCAAACUCAGUCAACAAAGAAUCAUACAGUAGAGUGAAUGUGGGUAGAGAUAAAUAACAGGGUAAAUUACCCAGUGAAGGAGGCCCUCAUGCAGCUGCAGGAUCAGGAAGUCCUCAACAUGGACGACAACAUGACUAGAUACUGCACAUCUAACCUUACUGCUGAGCUGUGCAAGAUUGGCAUAGCAAGAGCUGUACAUGCAUGGAAUGCACACAGAAUCCCAG
Amphiprion ocellaris (clown anemonefish) is the source of this 598-nucleotide long non-coding RNA. The record is from Ensembl. NCBI's taxonomy places the organism in Eukaryota, Metazoa, Chordata, Actinopteri, Pomacentridae.